CCCUUAGAUGUCCUGGGCCGCACGCGCGCUACACUGAGUGUCUGAGAUACGAGUCUGCCUGGUCCGGCAAGGUCUAGGUAAUCGCUAAAAGACACAUCAUGCUUGGGAUAGAUUAUUGCAAAUAUUAAUCUUGAACGAGGAAUUCCUAGUAAGCGCAAGUCAACAGCUUGCGUUGAUUACGUCCCUGCCCUUUGUACACACCGCCCGUCGCUACUACUGAUUGGAUGUUUAAGCGAGGUUCUCGAACUGCUAGCGACUUAGCUUCGGUGAGGUUGCAGUGUGGGAAGUGAACCUAGCUUUGGUGUCUAGAGGAAGUAAAAGUCGUAACA
This 329-nucleotide ribosomal RNA is filed under the name uncultured eukaryote. RNAcentral describes it as "partial 18S ribosomal RNA". It matches the Rfam family "Eukaryotic small subunit ribosomal RNA", at positions 1470 to 1796 of the family's 1831-position model. The record is from RNAcentral.